GUGAAUCAUCAAAUUUUUGAACGCAUAUUGCACUCUCUUGGAUGCCGAAGAGUGUUCCUGUGUGAGGGUAAUUAAAUAGAAUCUUUAACCGAUUUUUUGUGGAGAGGGAAGGAGUUCUCCGCGUUUAUAGCGGUAGUGUUAAAUAAAUGGUCAAGUCUCAUUUUAGUCGAGACGCGGAAUAAUAUUAUUUCGCGAAAUCUUCAUUAUGGUACUAUCAAUUUUUAAUGCAUACAAAUAUAUUUUAUAGGCUAUCAA
This 255-nucleotide unclassified non-coding RNA is filed under the name Ambisporaceae sp. RNAcentral describes it as "partial internal transcribed spacer 2". The stretch from base 1 to 71 matches the Rfam family "5.8S ribosomal RNA", at positions 84 to 154 of the family's 154-position model. The record is from RNAcentral. Lineage: Eukaryota; Fungi; Glomeromycota; Glomeromycetes; Archaeosporales; Ambisporaceae.